GAGGGAAAGCUUGGAGGGGGUAUCAGCUCAACUGUAAAAGCUAUACAGACUCUCUCUCUCUCUCUCUCUCUCUCUCUCUCUCUCUCUCUCUCUCUCUCUCUCUCUCCAUAGAUCAUCUCUGCUUCAUGCCCUGUCUCAUUUCGCAUAGCUAAAAAAAAGAAUGCUAAUUAAGAUCCCAUGUCUUAACCUGAAAAUAAUGACUCGGCUGUAAUUAGAAAUCUGCUGAGAGUUUAAAAUUCUAGUAGGGGACCAAAAGCAUCAGUUAUGGUGAUUAGGAAGAAAAUGAAGAAGUAUGUUUCUGUAAUCAAGACGGAUCUGAGAACGCUGUCUGGGCUUCGUGCCAAGGGCUGGUAUUCACACAGCAACGACGGCCUCACAGAGGAGCUGUGGGAAGCAGGAGGGAAGCCUCUCUUAGGGUGCCACUACUAUGGAGACACAGCUGGGCUGAACAAGAUUUGCUUCAAACGACAACAAGAGAGACAGAAAGUAUCUGAUUCAACCGCUGCCCAAGCAGGCAGGCACCAGAAGAGCUAGCAGCCAAUCCGGCCAUGCUCGAAGCCAGUCCUGCAGCUCAGCCAAUCAGUGACAUCAUUGGACAUCUCUUUAGAUUGUUCAUAAUGAUAUGAAGAUGAAACUUAAUAGCAAUAACCAAUGGAUGCUUUUCUUGGAGUCAGUCCAACACUCUGGAGACCAGAUCUUCAGGAAUGUUACUGGGAUAUUUGUCCAAAUCAAAUUACCUGCCCCCAUCAGGGUGCUGAUUAUUAAAGUGACGUUAUGAAAGGAUCACUCCGAAAUAACACACACCAGAAUAGGGGUGUUCCUGUCGUAAUGAGCAGUAUACACUAUGGAGAGAUUCUUCAAAACCCGUCAGGACGAGUAACAGAUGAAUUCAUAAAACUGUUCAUCGCUGUUAACCUUAAUGGUCAUUGAGACUUUUACUCAACUAUAAAGGCAUUUGAACUGGUCGAACAGGACGACGACAGAGCAGUAAGCAUGAGAUCAUUGCAGCCGAGUAGCAAACUGGCACCCAGCCUUUUCACCCCUUCGGUUCGGGAGACGAACGUGUGCAGUUCUCAUUUCUCAAGUCAGCACAGCCUGGAAGGAUUCCGGGUCUCUCCCACCUUCCACCAUUCUGCUGCCAGUCGAUGGCAAUGAUUGGUGCAGAUUCUGUGCAGUGUUUUGUGCCUGGAAUAUGGAGAAGAGACUGAAGACAAGCCCUCUGGACCUUCUUCUCUGAGAAAUACCAGGAGCCCUGAAGAAACAGCAAAAAACACACCCAAACCAAACAAAACCCCUGAGCCUCUCAGUAUUCGCUAGAGUGCUGAAAAAUACUGAUAAUGAUGCGGUAUGCCUGCGUGAAAACAAACAAAAAAAACCAAACAAACAAAAAUGCAAACCGAGACAAACCAAAAAAAGCAAACUUUGGUUUGUCCAACUCGUGAGACAUCGGGCUUCGUUAACCAGCUUGGAAGGCAACACAAACUUAUGAGCCUUUUUUGUUUUUAUUUAUUUAUUUUUUAUUAUUAUUUCAAAAACAAUGGCCUAAGAGCAGUACAUUGCACUUGGUGAACCCGCACUUUCAUAUCAGGGGAACAUUUAAAGUGCAUAUGAGAAGAGAAGAGAAUGACCACAGGAGAAAAUCAUCUCAGGUAAACGAAAAGGCACAAGUGUAUAGUAUAAUUAAUCUAGAAUACUAAUGAGAAAUUUACUAUGUUUGUGUUUGGUAUAAGAAAUUGUUCUUCCCUUUAUGAGGGGAAUUUUAUUGAUGGUUUUCUUUCAAGAGUUUACAGUGUUAUUUGCCUUUGUCAACCUUUUGUUUGGCUUUGUGAUUAAUGCCCAGUUUCUAUCUUUCUGAGGACAUAUGUGUACUUUGAUUUAUACAAUACAGGUACAAGAUGGUUGAAUAGGAAGCUAUUAGUGAAAAGAAAAAUAUGUUCUCAGUAGUUAUACCAUAGAAAAAGAAGUAAAAUCUGAGAGAAAGGUAUAAACUCAUAGUUUGUUUGUUAAUCUUUUUCAUAUAUCUAGUAAGACAACAAAGGAAAAGUAUAUUUUGAAGUAAAAAGACUACAACCAGUGUUUCCUCUUUUUCUUUAGACAUGAAAUGUAUAAAUAUAUGAUGAAAUAUUUUUACUACAAUUGGAUGCAUGAUUGUUGAUUAUUUACUACAGUUUUAAUAAGUAGGAGAAUGAUUUGAAAAUAAAUAAUGGUGAAAAUUUGUGUAGGCCAAAUUAUCUGUAUUAAACUCUAUAAAAUACAUUCUAUUUUUAUUUAUUUCAAAACACGCCAAAUCAUGAAGUAAUUACUAUGCAGUAUUAUUUUUCACAAUGAAGAUAUAAUUAAGAAAAGCUAAAUCAUUUUAGAUAUGAGUGAAAUGAUUAACGAUUAUACAACUUAUAAUUUUGCUGCAGAUGAGCUUAGAAUCCUAAAAAAGUACAUGUAACUGGUUUCAUGUGUGCUCACUGGCUUGCUUUCUUCCAGUGUAGUAGCUUACAAAAUUAAGAAUCAUUUAUUUAGUUUCAACCUGUUGAACAAAGGAGUUAUAUGUGACUGUAUGUUUUGUUGAAAUGAUAUAGUUUUUGAGAAAUAAAUUUAAAUGUGUUUUGUUGAAAGGGGAUGUAUGCUCUUUGGUGUGCUAUGAGCAGAUGUAAACAGUCCAGAAUAGCAGAAAUAACACUGAUCAUGUCAUUGAUUUUAGGGAUUUUUUUAUACCUUUUUUUUCCUCACUACUGUAAACGUUUAAUUUCAUCAUAACGUAGAAUUUGUGAUUUUUGUGUUUUUCACAAAAUCUCAUUUGUUUUUAAAAAAGCUAUAAUGUGACUAAAUCUCAAAAAUCACUGUUUUAUGUGAAUAAAUAUAAUCACUCUAGUGCAUAUACAACUUAAUAAUUUCUUUUUUAGUUGUAGACUUAUCAUAAUAUAUCUGUGCCUCACAACAGCAUAAUUCAUUAUGCAUAUAUUAGAUUCUUAAUUAGAACAGUUUAACAACAAUGCUAAAAUAUUCACAAUUUAAAGACAAAAUCAAUCUCUAAAAAAAACAGAAAAAAAGAAAGAAAAGAAAACUUGAAAGUUACUUCUUAAUCCUCAUGUUUAUAAACCUGUAUUUAAGUCAGUUAUUUUUGAACAUCUUUAACUGAGAAUAUGCAUCCUGAAAGUACAGCCUUUAAAAAUAUUUACACUAAAAUAUUAAUUUUAUUUGUAUCCCCUACUUGCAAUAGAUAUUUAGAACAGAUGCUACAUUAGUAAAAUGUCCAUGUGAGACGAUGCCCAUUGGCAUAAACCCGUAGAUCCGAUCUUGUGGUGAAGUGGACCGCACAAGCUCGUUUCUAUGGGUCUGUGGCAGUGUGGUGAUCUGACCAAGCACAGGGUAAUUGCUGCUCCAUCACAUCUCAGUGCACUCCUGUUCAUACUCCAGUACUCUUCAUAGCCUUGGAACAGUAGUAUCUCCAUUGUCCUUCAGGUAUAUACUAAUCCUCUCAUGUCUUACAAGGCAAGUUUUAAUUGUUGACUUUCUGGAAGGAUUUGUAGCAGAGCCAUUCAAGGCUAAAUUCAACUGCAAUAAACUGCUUUCCAAAGGUUGGUGUUUUUAAAUAGCUGGCUUUGAGCAAAAUCUGCACAGCUAUGGUCAAGAAACUUCAGUACACUUUUUCAGUGGGUUAAUGUGUCUUAUCCACUUCAACAACAGAGUACAGUCUAUCACUAGGUGUUUACAUUACACUUGAACCUGUUUCUCUUCAAAAUCAAGGCCUAACACUACCAACUUUUAAAUGUGCUCACAUUAAUGGAAGUGUGGUAAAGGAGAUGUCAGAAGAUGCUUCAUGUGACCUAUACUAUCAACCCACCACAUUAGGGUAGUCCUGUAAGCUACAAUUGAAGUUGAUUUGUAAACUGCUAGAAUAUUCUAUCUACAACCUUGCCAAGCCCUUAGGUAUUUGGCCGCCAUAUUUGGAGGAGCGGACUGAAGAUAUGAUAAGGAGUUUGAAGAAACAUUGGAAGCUGUGUGCAUCCGGGUUGAGGUAGUAGGUUGUAUGGUUUAGAGUUACACCCUGGGAGUUAACUGUACAACCUUCUAGCUUUCCUUGGAGCACACUUGAGCCAUCGAGGAAUUCUUCAUCUCUUUAAUCUGACCAAGCCAAUUUCUGUGCAAGAAAGUAAUGUGUCAUGAGUACAUGAGGCCUUAAUGCAUUUACCUGAUCAUUCCAGACCUGAUGGUUAAGAUUUUGCUUGUGUCUACUUGUAAGCAACGGCACAACGCUAUUUCUCAUGGGUUGUUAUUUUGUGUUUACCAUUCGAAAGAAUGGAUGCAUAGUCAAUUAAGUUGUGUUAAUAUUGAAACUUUUGUUCCUUUCAUCAAUGUAAUCACAAAAUUUGGCAUUUUCAAAUAGAUUAUUGGCCCUUUAUUAUUUUAUACUUAGAUACUACAGAAAGAGCAUGUCUAAAUGAUAGUAAAUUUCAUGUUAUCUGAAUUUUCUCAUGACCCAUCACUUUCUAUCUUAUGUUAUACCUAUAUAUAUGUUUACUUGUAUUUUCCAUACUAGACUGUAAGCUCCUUGAGGGCAAAGUCCAAGUCUUAUUUUUUAUUAUAUUCUUUUAAUGCUUAUACAUCUUAAACAGUAUAUAUUUAUAGGAUCAAUAAAGGGGCUAUAAGAUUUCAGUCUGUGAAGAUUUUUUUAAACUUGAAUUUCCUUUAUUGACCCAAUUAAAUUUUCCUAACCUUAAGUUCCAGACUCUUCUAAGUCAGUAAUAUAUUGAUUUAUUUUUACUGUUUUGAUUUAUUCUAUAUGUACAAUUUAAAAUUUGGAAAUACUUUCUCUCUGAAAUAAAAAGUAGAAUGAACUUAAUACUUACUUCAUCAUAGCUUCUAGUUUUAAAUAAUCCAUAUCUGUGUUAACCAUGUAAAUAUUUUUUUCAGAUAAACCAUUAUUCUUUUUAAUAGUAAUUUCAAUUAUAGGUCACUUUAAAAGUCUCAUUUAAUAAUUUUAAAACUCAGAAUUUUUAAUUUUAUGUGUCUUUCUUCUCUUCUAUAUUCUUUAUUUUUCAAAUAACUGAUUUUUUUUCUGUUACGAACCUCACAAAGAGGUCAUGAAAUUUAAUGAUUAAAAAAUGAUGUAAAAUGUAAUUUUAAAAUUUGGAAACAUUUUUAUUUAGAAAGGCAUAUUAUAUUAGCAUGUAAUAAUGUAAAUGAGACAUUUUAGAAUACAUUUUGUUUGCUGCCCGUUUUAGUGUAUUCUAGUGUGACAAUAUGUUAGUGAUUUCAUCUUGCAUAGAUUAUUUUCACCUCUAAAUUUAAAUAGCGUUUGACAUUAAACAUUUUAAUUUGCAACUACAAUUAUCUCUAGUAAUUUGACAUAUGUCAUAUAAAUAUACAUGUUUCAUAAAUAUAUACACAUAUGUAUAUACAUAUAUAUACAUAUACAUGUCACCUUAAUUCUUGACUACUAGUGUCUCAGAAAAAAAAGAAAGAAAGAUUUUUUUUGAGAUCAUGCCCCCAAAAGCAAACUCCAAGAAAUAAAGAGAAGGUGUGUAUUGGGGAAUAGAAAUGGUAUCCUAGAAGUGGUAUCCUGUCAUAUAGUGUUGGUUGUGCACAAAUAUGGGAGAAAUAGCCAAGAAAGAAAGCAGUUAGCUGGAAUGUCUUUUUCAUCAAUUAGCCCUGAAGAAUAACAUUCAUUUCAUUUGUGUGUGUGUGUGUGUGUGUGUGUGUGUGUGUGUGUGUCUGUGUGUGUUUGUGUGUGUGUGUGUGUUUACCCCAAUACUGGUUGCAUAGAUCUGGUGGUCACAUGAUAUACACACUGAAAGGAUCAAAUACAUACUAUUGCAAAGCAAGUCCUGACUUCUGUUCAAUGCAGGAGAGUUAAUUGUCCUACAGAGGACAACUAUGAUAUGUACUUUAAAAUAAGCUAUAAAAUGCUAUAAUAGGCAGCUAGAAAGAUGGCUCAGCCAUUAUGAAGGUUUCAGAGGACCUGAGUUUAGUUUUCAGCACUAACAUGGAUAGUUCAUAACACCUGUACCUCAGUCUAUAGGCAAUCCAAUGCCCUCUUCUCAUCUCUGUGAGUACCUGAACAGCACCCACACACACAUGCACACAAACAUACACACACACUAAAGUAACUAUUAUAUCAAGUUAUAGAAUUAUGAUCUUGUGCAUGUACUUUCAAAAGGGAACUGGAAUUGAAGAUACCUAGGAAUAAAGCCUAAGGAAGAUGAAACUAUAACUCAUUACACUGCUUACAUAGAAAUAAUAAAAAUUCUGAAGAGCAAGGGGCAUAGCAUCUGAGAAGAGUUUUAAAACUUGGUGUGGUGAGAAAGCUAUAUUUGAUAAUUAUAUUUUUGCCUUUGAACAUGAUAUAUUUUUCCAAGUCAUCUCUAGGGCUGCUAAGAUUCCUGUAUGUUUCUGAAUAAAACUCAAUGGCAAAUAUUAAUAUAAAAGUUGACAAGAUUAAUUUGAAAUAUACCAAGGUCUAGGACCAUGAUGAUACAAGUUAGAAAUAGGUAAACUGGAUCCUAAAAUUGAAGGCAAUCAUAAUACAUGUUGAGGAUAGGCAUUGGGUCACAUAGGACCAACCAUCCAAAUUGGCAGCAGGGUUUACUGUAUGCUAAGAGCUGUAUAAUUUGUAUCAGAUAAAGGAUCGUCUAUAACAAAAAACAUUCAAUUUUUAACUAAUCAUAUUUUACCACUUUAUUUCUGUCAUGGUGUGAUAUGUUUACAGUCGGAGUGGUUGAUUCAAUUCAUUUGGUAAAUGCACUUUGAUAAUAUUUAAAGCACCUUUUGCCCCUUCUCCUGUCGCCUCUGAUUUACCUUACAUUCUUUAUAGCACAUGACAUUAAUGUAAAAUGCAAAGAAAGCAAAGCAGAGCACAAACCAGCAUCCUAUGCAAGGGAUUGAGUCUUAGGUGGAAAAACCUAACCAAGUCCAUAAUACUGAGAGUUCACAAUACUGUGAACUAAGUUAGCCAGAGGAGCUAUAAAGGAAUCACAUAAACUACUCGGCAUGAGUCCUUUUGAAAAUAAUCCAGCAGCACAUAAACUGAGCUAUUAGAAUAAGUGAGUCAUUUUUUUCCUCUUACUUCCUAUUAGCAAAGAGUGACUCAUGAGCACAGGAGAUUCCCCAAGGUAUAGGAUUCAGGGUCUGUCAUCGUGAGCCUUAAACCCAUGCCCCACUUCUCUACAAAACCAUUUAGUACUGAUAUGGGCUGACUGACCCCUGCUUUUUUCCUGAGACACAUAGGGUAUAGAUGUGAAAUGUCUGAAUGAGGAAUGGCAUGCCCUGAAAUUUUUAAUUUGUUCUUUAAUCUCUAUGGCAUAAACAGCACACCUACUUUUAUAACAAGAUACUAUCAUGCUCAUCCACAAAACAUUUACUGAUGCAGAAAGAGAGACUGUUUCUGUUUUGAUUCCCCAAAGUCUAUGUACACCGUUCAUUCCCAUAGCAAUUACUCUAAGUUCCAUUAAUAAUAAUCAGUGCCCAAAGGGACUGUGAUCUGCCUUUCUACUUUUUUACAUAUUUAGAAAGAACCACAUUUGUAUUGAGUCAAUGCCUGUUGUAUUUAAUUGAACUUUGGGAUAUUUAUGGGUUGUGUUAAGAACCUCUGUACAAAAUUAUAAUAACUUUUGUUUCAGUGUAAAGUUUUGUGUUUUCCAAGAUAUUUCCAGACACUUUGCAAUGUAUUAUUAUUGUAUUGUAGGCAUUCUAACGGCAACUGAUGGUUCUACACCCUAGUCUUAAUUAAGACCUGUGAGGUAAUGCUUGAAGAUUUAUGAAACUAACCAGUCACUAAUAUUUAUAAGUUCAAAACCCUUGUAUAAAAAAAUAAGUUCUUUCAUAAUGCACAACUCUUGCUGUAUCAUUGAUGUUUUAAGACAUAUUCAAGUGCUCUUUCAUGAAUUUAAAAAAAAAUUCAAUAAAAUAAAAGUAUUCUGACAUAGAAGAACAAUCCUAAAUCAAAGUAGACUUUUAAAGAUCUUUCAAUUUUGUAUAGGAGAUAUUAGGAAUAUUAUAGUAACUUUGGAAUAUGCUUGAAGGCUGAUCUCAAGGCUUGUUCUUAUUUCUUCAUAAUAUGUGUGCCUUAAUCUUAAUUUAACUAUGCUAUAUGGAAAGUGUGAGUUAUGUGUAGUCAUAUUUAUACCUUCAUAUGAAACCUCCAAAACCCCCAUUGUGUUUCUCUUCCCUCUCAAAAUGACAAAAGCCAUUAUGAAAAGGCUAAGUUUCUAGGAAUAACAUAUUACAUAGGUUUGCAAUCUUCUAUGAGCACUAGAAAACUUGCUGUUUAUUUUGUCCAGUGGAGUCCAGAGUUGAUUAAUUAAAACAUAAAAAAGUAUGUGUGUGUGUGUGUGUGUGUGUAUACAUGUGCAUGUACAUGUGAUACAACUUUGGGUGUGACAUCAAGAAUUAAAUGUUAUUCUUCUAUCUUUUUCUUGAAGCAUGGUCUCUCGCAGUCUUGGGACAGGGGCACAACAACUAAGGUAGACAGGGUGGCCAGCAAGACUCAAAACCUGCCUGUCUUUUCAUUCCCUCUUCUGAGAUAGUAACACAUACCACCAUGCUUGACUUCUGAGAACUAAAUAGAGAUUGUAAUGCUUACAAGUACAGGACUUAUUAACUAAACUAUCUCCCUAUGCCCUAAUAAAUAAUUCAUUAAAAAAUAACUAAAAAUAGUGCAUAUGUGUUACAUACAUUAUAAAACUAAAAAUCCUGGAGAAAAUUUACAUAAAUAUAAAUAAAAGGAUAUAGAUAGAUAGAUAGAUAAGUUUAUAUAUAGUUUUAUAUAUACACAUACACACAAAUAUAUACCUUCUAACAAUGUAUAUAUAUGUAUAUGUAUAUGUAUAUAUGUAUGAAUAUCUUCUUUAAGUCACAAGAUUUGUCACCUGUGAUCUCUAAUUUUCAGUUGCUUCAUGGAUGUCGUUAACUAGAAAGAAAAAGUAGGAAUAAUUCUCUUUUCCUUGAGUCUUUUUUUCUAAUUUUCCAUCCAUUCAACUCUACAGUAUUUUGAAAGUGAUUGAAUUUUAUUUAUUCUUUCUAAAACUUUCAACUUAGAAGAACAUCUCUUAUUCACUGUACACUUGUAUUUCGGUUGGUUUUUCUAGUAUCAAAUGGCUUGGGCAUGAAUAGGACUGACUCUAAGCAAGCACGUAAAGUACUUAGUGGAUGGCUGGGAGCAAGGAUGAGUAAGAGUGGUGUGACCCAGGGGUUACAAACAAGUUGUUACAAGUGCCUGUGUCUAAUCCACAGCACCACAGAUAAUAUUAGCAAUAGUGAUAAUAGUAAUAAUUUCUUGGGUACAUAAAUAUUAACUUAAUUGUUCUUAAAAUUGUUCUCUGUACCAUCUAUCAAAAAAGCUUUUAGCCACAUUUGGGUAACAUAUUUGGAAUCUAGUUGACUGAAGAAUAUACUAAUAUGUUGUAGUUAAAGUUUAAAUAGCUGCAUAUGGCUGGUAGCUAAUAAAUUAAUUGGAUUUUGUAGUGGUGAAGUUUCUGUAUGGGUAAAACUUAUUCAUUUUUUGAAUUAAUUAAAAUAAAUAAAUAUGUGUGCUCAUUUUUUUCCUCAGAAGUGCCAACUUAUCACAUUUUCUCAGUAGUUCAUAAGGGAUUAAGAGAGUAAUGCUUGUCAGUAUGAAGUUACUGCUUAGCACUAUCUGAAUUUUUAAAAAAGUUUAUUCAGACCUAAGCUUAGAUAUAAUUGGGAACUCUCUCUUACAUAGACUAUUACUCUCAUAUCUACCUAACUGUCCAUCUAUAGAUAAUCUAUAUUCUAUUAUUACAUAUGCAUUUUAAAAAAUAUUGGUCAAAACCUAAUGUAUGUGGUAUUUAAUUAACAAAAAAAUGCAAAUAAUUAGCCAGAUAAACAUACUGGAGAAUAUUGAGAAAAAAGAAUGCAAAGUUUUAAAAUGAUUCAAGCAAUUGAAUAGUUUAAAAAAAGUCACUGUAAGUUAUGCUUCACAGUUUAGAUGUAAAGUAAAGUACUAGACAGAUGAUAAAAAUAAAGAUAGAUUCACGACAGGAGCACAGAAACUUCCUCUGGAUCAGGGGAAACACAAAAUAAAGCACCGAGUGUACUCUUACAAAACCCACAAAAACAGCACCCACACCUAACACUUGAAGUAAUAAAAGGGAUUUUUUGUCACUUGACAAUAUUAAGAAAAAUUAUACUAUUACACUUUUAUAUUUUCAAAAACAAAGUAUUUAGAUUUUAUUUUUAAAGUAGUGCUUGGCAACUUCUACCCUUAAACACUAAGUGGCAUGGUCUGUGCUGUAAGCCAGGCAGUGGUAGCACAGGCCUUUAGUCCCAGCAAAGGCAAGCAGCCUGGUCUACAGUCAGUGAGUUUCAGAACAGCCAGGGCUACAAAGAACAAAACAAAACAAAGCAAGCAAGCAAGCAAACAAACAAACAACAAGAAACAAUAACAACAAAUGAAGUGUUUGCUAUCUCUUUAAAUAUUAGAAAACUGCUGGGAUCUGUAAAUGUGUACAUAGCCAUGUGUUCCUAUAUAUGUCACACCUACAUGAAUGGUAACUCUUUAACCUAAAACCUGGGUGUCUUCCACCAUCGAUUCCCAUUACUUUGUCACAGUGCUUCUAGUGACCCACAAACAUUCAUGGUACACAGUCCCAUGGGAGAAUCUACUUUGUCCAGUUAGUCGCAGUGGCUGCUCAGCUUUCCUGCUCCAGUCCUUCCAGAUGUUUUCUCUAGGACACUGUCUCAACUUAGAGAUUCGCACAAUAAAUGUUCAAAGUUGGAUUUUUUUUUUUUAGCAGAAUUAUGCAAAUGACAUAGGUUGCCAAACCUGUCUCACAAAAGGUAGCACAUUUGCCCCUAGCUGUGAUAUGACCAGUUUAGUGCGGUUCAGAGUUGAUCUUCUCUCUCCUGGUUACUUCUGCUCUGAAAGUCUUAAGCAAUUAAAAAACGAGGAACUACAGUAAGCCCAGCUCUGCAGACUCCUUUUGACCUUAAUGUUUAGGAAGCAUUUAACGCUGUUCCCAAAUCUAGGAUUCUGCCAUAUUCUUCCCCUAUCUUAGCAUGACCCGUUAAUUUUUUCCUUCCUUGUCUCAUUGUAAAGCCUCCUAGAUGACUGACUCUCAACCUUAUUCCUUUGAAACCUGCAUCAGGAAGAAGACAUGGUGUAGGAAGUGUGCAAUCUGGGAAAGCCAUCAAUGUCCUUCAGCUUACACACACCUCUUUCCACUGUGAGCACAGUCACGAACAUUCUCCUUACAGUAACACAGGGACUGAACCUCACAUAGAGGGUGGGCGAUGCCUAAACUUAGAUCGUCUGAUCCAUGUGACUGCAGAAAUUGGCUUUACCCCAGUGCUUUGUAAUAGGUCCUCAUCUGUAAAGGGAAAACUCUAACAUGGCUUGUAUUGUGUGAGCAUAUUAUAUUGAGCAAGCAUGGAGGAUACUAGAUUAAAAGUAUAUUGUUGAAAUAUAUGUCACAUGGUACAAUUCAUGCUUUAUGGAAAGUCGUAAUAUCUAGUGCUGCAGAAGUUACCCAGGAAGACCAUGACACAGAUAAUUUAAGGAGGCUCAUACUCCAUACCUUUUCUUUUUUCUGAUUCCCCCUUCUUACCUUUGAACACCGUGGCAUAGCUGCCUGAAUUCUGUUUUGAACAGAUCACCAUUAAGUACAUCUUCAUUGUCAGGUGACCCAAGACAAAACAUAUCUCACAUCUUACCUCAUCUUUCUUAACUUAUUGUCUGUCUUCAUGCCUCUGAAGUUAAUUUUUGGUUCCCAGGUAUAAUGUCUGUUUUAAACGCUGGAGCAAUGCUGUCGGUGCUGAGCAUGCAUAAAUUUGAAAGAAAAUUAGAAAAAGAAACAAAAACUUGCUAGUCUCUGUCCCUAUCUCUAAAAUGCAGACAAUAGUCUCUUCUAUCUGAUUUAUUCAGACUGUGGAGAAGGUAAAAACAUUUGAUGGAGAAAAAUAAAGGAGCAUCCAUAGUUUUUAUAGAUAACAAAUCAAAUCAUUAAAAACCACUCCUUUGAAGUCUCGAAUAUGUAGACCUAGGAAAGGAGGGAGUGUCCUGUUUUCUUCCAUGAUCACCCGAGAACGAGAACGGAUGCCGCUCCUCCCCUCACUUCUGCUCUCUUUGUCUUUCUGUCUUUCCUUCUCUGAUAUAUGUUUUCAGGUCCUGCUGAAAUGAAGCUGGGGAGUUUGGCAGGACUUAACUAGUAGGUUAAUCACCUGCCAAGUUUGUGUACCAUCUUGGUCCUGUCAUGCAUAUAGGGAGCUAAAACAGUCUUGCCAUUUUAUCCAGGCCCCACCCCCUUGUUUUUCCUUAGCAGAGCCACCUGUUUCCACACAAGCUAAGAAUGCAAGCCAUUCUUGUUUGCUAGGAAGUUUUGGCUGUGCUUUUAAAACUCUGUGAGGCUUUGUUAAUUGAUUUUAUUUUAUAUCUUUGAGGCAAAGUUUCAAUAGUUCGGGGAUGGUAGAUUACAUGCAUCCUCUUGAGGUUUUACUUUUAUUUUGUUUAUAUUAUAAAUUGCUCGUGUGUGUGUGUGUGUGUGUGUGUGUGUGUGUGUGUGUGUAGUCAGAUGCCCAUGGAGCUGAAAAGAGGACAUACGAUCCCUGUAGCUCAUGUUAUAACCUAUUGUGAGCUACUCAGUAUGGACACUGAGAGCCAAACUCAGAUCAUAUGCAAGAUCAAUACUCACUCAUAAACAUUGAACCAUCACUAUGGCCACUUACCCUUGACCUUCUAAAACAAGUUCUUUACUGUUCCUUAUCUUUAGAUUUGGUAGACUCCUGUGUCAUGGUCUUAGAUGAUUUACCAAGGUAGGA
Mastomys coucha (southern multimammate mouse) is the source of this 12768-nucleotide long non-coding RNA. RefSeq lists it as uncharacterized. The record is from RefSeq and is a predicted model, not a curated record. NCBI's taxonomy places the organism in Eukaryota, Metazoa, Chordata, Mammalia, Rodentia, Muridae. The transcript has 9 exons.